Molecule: ribosomal RNA, 250 nt
Filed under: uncultured bacterium
Lineage: Bacteria
Description: partial 16S ribosomal RNA
Rfam family: Bacterial small subunit ribosomal RNA
Source: RNAcentral
UACGUAGGGUGCAAGCGUUGUCCGGAAUUAUUGGGCGUAAAGCGUGCGCAGGCGGUUUUGUAAGUUUGUCGUGAAAGCCCCGGGCUCAACCUGGGAAUUGCGAUGAAGACUGCAAGGCUUGAAUCUGGCAGAGGGGGUAGAAUUCCGACGUGUAGCAGUGAAAUGCGUAGAGAUGUGGAGGGACACCGAUGGCGAAGGCAGCCCCUGGUCAAGAUUGACGCUCGAUGCACGAAGCGUGGGAGCAAACAGG